UGCCUCUGGUUUUGGACUUAGUCUCAGAGCCGUUUCUCCUCAGAUUUGGACUUUAACUUUUGAGCGGAGUCACAGAGUCAGAUAGUGGAAUAAUUGGACGGAUAAGGAAGGUAGUCUCCCACUACAUUUUGGCGAGCUAGCCAGGAGGAGCGGCCCGGUACACAGCCUGCGGCGGCGGACCGGGAGGGACGGGACGGCGGAUCUCAGGCGCGCCCCACAUACACCAUUAAGGGAUAUAUUUAUAUCUUUUCUUCAUUUACGAGUGAUACCGUCUACUCCUUCCCAGCCCCAAGUCUCAGCCAGCUUCUACUGACUACUGACUGCGGAGUCGAGAUCACUGAGGGGAUGAUGUUCCCCGACCCCGUGCUGAGGCAAACAAGGAAGCAGACUGUCAUUGAGAUCCAGAAGUGUUUUAUACACAGGCCAUGUCAGCCAAACAAAUUGAAGGAGGCUACAGAGGUAUCACCUGACACAAAGACUGGAGUCGGGUGGGCCACAGAGUCCUGGACAAAGAUGGCAGGCACUGCACAACAGCCAGAGGAAAAGGAGACUGGGCCCGUAUCAAAUUAUCAAGGAAAGUGCAACAGCACUGACCAGAUAAGCUAUGCUGCAGAAGUAAGGUUAUGGGAACCCCGAGCUUAAUCAUCAAGAAGGGAGAGAUCCAGAGGAAUCCUGACCACAUGCACCAGCUAAAGGUGUCUGUUCAUUUCCCAGGAUUCACCUUGACACAGCCAAAGGAGACAGCAGAGGUCAGAGGUCUGAACUUUGAGCAGCACAUACACAAGACACACACACACACACACACACACACACACACACACACACACACACACACACACACACACACACACACACACACACACACACACACACAGAGGGAAACACUGAUUGAAUGUUAAAGUCUAAGCUUUGCUUUCUGGCAGUAUUUGAUAGCUUUAGGGCUCUAAGCAAGUUUGAUUUUUAGAAAUAUAAAAGAUGCACAUUCUGUUGUUAUCCUGUUGUUGACUGUUAGACUAGGUUAAAGAAAAUAUCCACUCAGCCCUAGGGCUGUCAAGGUCAUUGCUCAUUCAUCAGGGUGCCAUUGUUGACUCUCUCAUUUCACCAUGUACCUCCCCCAUCUUGCCCGAAAAAGAAACCAAAAAAAAAAAAAAAAAAAGGGGGGGGAGAGAUUUUUAAAAUACUUUAGGGUCAUAAAUUAAGAUGCUGUAAUGACUGUGGGUUUUCAGUUACUGAUUUAACAAAUGCAUAUUCUAGCAUUCCUGUUUAUCCUGACUCACAGUUCAAGGUUGCUUUCACUAUCAAUGGUAAACUUUGUUCAUGGAUUUGGAUGCCAUAGUUUUCUUCUCCAGUCCAACUUUGUUCCAAAACCGCAAAUGAAAACAAAUGAUUGCCUUAUUGGAUUUAGCAGGCUAUUGUUGUCCAUAGAUUGAGCUUUUUCUCAUUCAUUUUUUUUUAUUCUUUUAGGCCUCCCAGACCAUAGACGUCCCUUAAAGAAAAAAAAAUCAUGAAAAUAAGACAUUUCUGAAAUGGUGUUUAUUUAAAAAAAAAAAAAAAAGAGUAGUCCCACGGUGACGAAAAGUGAUUAAUAGAUCAUUAUUUUUAACUUUACGUAACUUUAACGUUAUGACCAUAUCUGAUAUAAUUAUGUGUCCUCUAACUGUUUGUGUUCUGCAUGCUGUUUCAUUUAACCUCAGAAAACCAAAAAGAACAGAUAAUUAAAUAUGUUGCAGAUAGGGCGCAGUUUGCCUGUCGAAUUUUGAUGCAAGACGCUCCAACUGGUAAGCAACCUUUAGCAUACUAUAGCACCAAGUUAGAUAACUCUGAGGCUGGUCUGCAUCCCAGUUGUCAGGGACUUGCAGCAGCAGCUUUUGCUUUGAGAGAGCCUCAACAGGAACCAUAGGACACCCAACAAUACUGUAUACAUCUCACCAGAUACAUGCCCACCUCACCAGUCCAAGGUUUGUGCUUACACAAGCUAGGUUAUGAAGUUGUGCUCUCAGCAACAACUGAACAUCCAACGCUGCAAUACAGUUAAUCCUGCAACAUGGAUGAUGAUACCCAUAGAUAGAAUGCAACAUGACUGCCUUCAAGCCACAAAUGUGUUUCUGAGACCACGUGAAGAUAUGCAUAAUCAGCCAAUAACAACAUAUCUCUCUCUCUUUGUAGAUGGAUCCUGCUUCAGAGACGUGACAAGCAACAACACAGGUUAAGAAAUUGUACAGUUGCUGCCAGAUGAUAUAUUUACCACAGUCUAAACAAUCUAUCUUGCCCAACCAUGCUCAGCACAGCUUGCAGAAAUUAAAGCUUUUAACUGCCGCAAAGCAAAUUAUCAGAAGGCAAGCGGUUAAAUGUAUACUCACAGUGGGCUAUGCAUACGCAGUGUGUCAUAUAUAUGGAAAUAUCUGGAAACAGAGAGGUUUUCUCAGAGCGGAAUGGCACACCAGUAAUGCAUGGAGCAGCCAUCUUAACACUAAUUCAAGCAUUCAUCUAUCAAGUGUAUCAGCUAUUAUCAAGUGUGCUGCUCACCAAAAAAGCAGUUCCCUAAUAGCCAAACGCAAUAGCCUGGCUGACGAGGCCACUAAACAAGCUGAAACCGGUACAUGUGUUGGACGGUUGAAGGCAGCCGAAAACUGUGAACCACUCACCACUUUACCAUCCUUAAUAGCAGCCCAGAAGGAGGCUGACAUACGUACAGUUAGUGUGGUUAAAACGUGGUGAUAUUAAAACCACUCAAGAAGACCACCAGAAAGGUUUAUGGUGUAAGCACAGUAGAUAAAACUUUAGCAGAAUGUUUGUGCAAACAAUACUCUGAGGAAAGCCUUUCCUGCUGCAAAAUUAUACAAAUUAUACAAAUGUGUUUGCCAGAGUGCAUGAAUUCUGAUAACGAGUCAUCUUUUGAUAGAGAUAAAGAUUAAACUAGGAGUUUGAGACCAUGGACUUCUGAAAAUAAAGACAGUUCAGGCUAAAAAGGGCAGAGACUAUCCAGGGUGGAAAAAAAAAAAAAAAAGAGCACUCUUCAAUUUGGGCUAAGAGAAAAGAAAAGGGUAUUUGUAGGACAGAGAAAUGCAGGUUAAAAUACAGCCUUAAGUCCAUGGACGGCAAACAUCGGAUAAAUAAUCAAAAAGCAAGGUAAAUUAAAGUCUAAAUUAAAGGAAAUGUGAGAAUAAUGCAUGCGAGAACCAAAACUGAAAAAAACACACACAAAAAAAAAACAAUCUGAACUGAAAAUAAACAACGAUAAUAGUUGUUAACAAAAAUCGAAGACCAACAAAAAAGUUUCAGUUAAACCAACAAUAAAUGUUCGAACAUUCUUAUGGGGGUUUAAUAAAGUAAAAAAGUAGUGUAUGAGGUUGUUGACUGUGUGUUGUCAACUACCUGUGUCUUGAGUGUGUGUUGAAGAAUCUACUGGAAAAAUUAGUGUUUCCUAAAAUAAAUUGUGCUAUUUUGCAGUGUUGUGUGAUUUGGUGCUGAUGUAACUGUCAGACAUUGGAGACAUUUUUGCUGUUCUAAAGAGCUUUGUAUUACUGUUAAUAAGUGGUUAAGUGUGUUGCAGUACUCAAACGAUGUGAAGGUUAUUAGACAAACUUGAUAGUUCUGGUCUAAAAUGUGUGUGCUAAUAGAUAUAUUAGUAUUGAAUGUGAUUUAUGAGAUGGUUGUUCUUGUGUGUUGUUUUUGACUUAUGAAUACUAUUCGUGCAGGCUAAGAGUUUAUAAAUGCAUGUGUAAAGUGUCGUUGAGAUAAGGAAUCCAAGUGACGGUCGGUUGAGGUUACAGCCGAGGAGACACAUCCCCGGGCAGGUUUUAUAUUGUUUUAAGAGCGGGUUCCUAUCUCGCUGAUGGCUGAGGGAGUUGUGUGCUGAAAAGUUGUGUUUCAAACUGCAGCUCCAUUGCUCCUCCCCUGGUGUGUGUGAGAGGGGGGAUGCUAGCGCCCCCCGCUCUACUGCACGUCCGGUGUGACGUAAUCACCCUCCCUUUCUCUCCUCGCUGUCGACUGGGUCCAAGCUCAGUGAACUUUUCCUUUUUUAGUACAUCAAGGUUUUGUUGUGUAUUUUUUUGUUGUUGUUGUUUUUCAAGCUCCUUUCAGCAUGCUGUCUCAUUAGUGGUUGUUGUCUGAAGUGAAUACCUAUAUGCAAGUGAUAUAUACAAUUUACGACGAUUACAUAUAAGCUGCUAUUUCAAAUAUUAUAACCAAUUGUGUUGCAAAUACAGUUUAAGCCAGUUUAUAUUCAAGUAAACGCUAUGAUCUGUUCUUUGGAGUUACAGGGUGUGAGCUGAAGAAGGCUGUUGUUAAUCAAGUAGCAUUUGACCAACCUACUCUAUUGCCCAAAUGGUGUGUUCAUAACAAAGAAAUUCAAAGCUAAUAUUAGAACUGAAAUAUUAGAAAUGAUAUAUAAUGAUGUUGAAAAUACUGAGAUCCUUUACAAAAAAGCAUAUAUAUAAAGUGUCUGUGUUGAUUGCAUCAUGAUUUUCACAUCAAAGUUCACAUACCUGUUACAGAAGAAGUAAAAUCAUCAUUUUAACUACAGAAACAUCAAGCAUCUAAUAAAAACAUACAUAUAACAUGUCCACAGUCACAAGGUUCAGUAGAACAUGCCAGUGGUAUAUCAAAAACUAAAAUAGCCAAAAUCAUGGCUGAUGGUAAUGGUAAACUCACCUGAGAAGAUGCUUUGCCAUUAGCACUAAUGUCUAUGCACUCACAAACUAACAGACUAACCCAUCUAACCCUGCAUGAAAUGCUCACUGGAUGCCCAAUGCCACUGCCACAGUGCAGGGGCCCUAUAGAGGGACCGCUUCAGCAGCACUAUUUAUGGGGUUUAACUCAAAUCUACAGAUGUGUCCUCCAACAGGUGAAAGACUGAUAGUAGUGUCGGAGAGGCUGCCGAGGAUGAUGCCACCAGCACAACCACGGGCAGUGACACCCUGGAAAGCGCACGUGCAGGACCGUCCGGCCUGCAAGAUAUACACCACCCGUCCACGCCUGAAUUCUGGCCAGAGUCAGAGCGUUCUCUGACUCAGAUUAAUUUGUUUGUUUUCUUUCUUUUUGUGCUAACCCUUUCAGGUUUCGCAAGGGGGGAGGUAGAAAGAGAAGUCCUAAUGACAUGUGCCACUAUUAACACACCACAUGUUAACUGUGCACUUACCAUGGUCACCUUAGCCACAAUUACAAGGGCAUAGUGAAAAUGGGAGAACUACUACAUCUUCUGUAUGUAAAAGCUGACACAUAUGGUUGUUCACUAACCACCGAUGGCACAAUAGCUAACGCUCCAGGUUAACAUUGGGUGGGACUACCCCGCACCACUGACUGUCAAGAGAAUGGAUGGUGACAUUACAGGUAAUACGCACAAACACGUCAUGUUAGGACACAGAAACAAUCAGAAAAUGAAACUUUUAGAAGCCAGUAGAUGGAUUCGGCUAAAGAGUAACUGAGAAAAAAGAGAUUUGGCCAAACUAAGAAGCACAGAAAAAGACCAAUAAGAGUGUAUUGUACGUUACAAACGUCAAAAGAAUACCACUGCCAGGAAGUCACAGAGGUGACUGUUCGGAUAUAACUGAAUGUCUUGCUUGUUGUGCAGUGCACAUGGCAGUGAAAUUGGAUAGAUGGAGUUCCAACUCUCAAAUAUGCCAAUGAAAAAUUAAAAACAAUGACAGCUAUGUAAACUUGAUAAACUAAUCUUCCUUUUCUGUGUAGCACGAGGACGAGUUGGUGUAUGUAACCUGGAGAAACACAACCAACCUGACGUGGUGAGACUAAUGAAGUGCAGCAAUGAGACCUGGUAUCCGGCCACCAAUGGGGGCAAUGCUACCACCAUAAAAAUGUGUGAAUCCAGCCCUUCAACAAUUAGCCCAACCACAACUACAGGAUGAGCUCUCCGUGGAUAAUCAGCUAGGAAGACAACAUCAUGGAUAGAGGUCAAAAUGUAAUUUAGAUAAAUGUGCCAGCAAGGCUGUGAGCCUGGCUAAGGUUGCUGUCCACUCCUGCAGAGGAACAAUCCAAAUGGAUACAACAGAGCAGAGGUAUCUGUCAGUGCCUGCACCCUCCAGGAAGAAGGGUGAGCUAUCAACACAGAGACUACUGUACAAGGAGAGAGACAGGCUGACAGGUUUAUAAAUUAUAUUCCGACAAUUGUACGACGAUCCCUUGUAUUCAACAUAGUUAUGUAGAGUCAAAUGUUGUAAAUGUGUUGAUGAAGAAAAGCGGGCACUCAUUUGUGAAGGUCACGUCAGAAAGCUGAGUGCCAUAAAAAGCACAAGAAAUGUAUUAAACCAGUGUGGUUUACAGGAAACCAGUAAGUUCAUAGGGACUCUGGUGUAAUGUUGGCCUUAGGGCCGCCACACUAACCAAGGCAACACCACGGGUAAUAUGUCACCAAGGCUAACAAAUAACCCAAGCGUGUCAUUUAAGUCCAGGUGCUAAGAUUGGAUAGAGCUCUUACCUGUCGUUAUGUAAUUGGAUCAUUGGAAAAAUACCAGAAGAAAUUUUUUUUACAAAAACAAAAGGUGGUAUGAGAGUUUUACGUCAAUGAUCUAAUAAUUACUGAUCUAAUGUUUGCUGAACUGACCAAAGAGGGAUCAUCUUUACAAAGUGUGUCUAGAUAAUAUUCUAAUUCUAAAGGGUUUAAGAAUUUGUCUAUGUAAUCUUGUGCUUUUCUGAAAAAAAAAAAAAAAAAAAA
Acanthopagrus latus (yellowfin seabream) is the source of this 6670-nucleotide long non-coding RNA. RefSeq lists it as uncharacterized. The record is from RefSeq and is a predicted model, not a curated record. The transcript is spliced from 2 exons. NCBI's taxonomy places the organism in Eukaryota, Metazoa, Chordata, Actinopteri, Spariformes, Sparidae.